GUAUAGCUCAGUGGUAGAGUGUGUGCUUUGCAUGCAUGAGGUCCUGGGUUCAAUCCCCAGUAC
Molecule: transfer RNA, 63 nt
Filed under: Camelus bactrianus (Bactrian camel)
Lineage: Eukaryota; Metazoa; Chordata; Mammalia; Artiodactyla; Camelidae
Also listed under: 2 other names
Rfam family: tRNA
About the family: Transfer RNA (tRNA) molecules are approximately 80 nucleotides in length. Their secondary structure includes four short double-helical elements and three loops (D, anti-codon, and T loops).
Source: Rfam by way of RNAcentral